AGCGAACGCUGGCGGCAGGCCUAACACAUGCAAGUCGAACGAACCUUUCGGGGUUAGUGGCGGACGGGUGCGUAACACGUGGGAACGUGCCUUUAGGUUCGGAAUAACUCAGGGAAACUUGUGCUAAUACCGAAUGUGCUCUUCGGGGGAAAGAUUUAUCGCCUUUAGAUCGGCCCGCGUCUGAUUAGCUAGUUGGUUGAGGUAAUGGCUCACCAAGGCGACGAUCAGUAGCUGGUCUGAGAGGAUGAUCAGCCACAUUGGGACUGAGACACGGCCCAAACUCCUACGGGAGGCAGCAGUGGGGAAUCUUGCGCAAUGGGCGAAAGCCUGACGCAGCCAUGCCGCGUGAAUGAUGAAGGUCUUAGGAUUGUAAAAUUCUUUCACCGGGGACGAUAAUGACGGUACCCGGAGAAGAAGCCCCGGCUAACUUCGUG
RNAcentral lists this ribosomal RNA (434 nucleotides) under uncultured bacterium. RNAcentral describes it as "partial 16S ribosomal RNA". It matches the Rfam family "Bacterial small subunit ribosomal RNA", at positions 29 to 507 of the family's 1533-position model. The record is from RNAcentral.